Molecule: ribosomal RNA, 442 nt
Filed under: uncultured archaeon
Lineage: Archaea
Description: bacterial SSU rRNA
Rfam family: Archaeal small subunit ribosomal RNA
Source: RNAcentral
UCAACUAUUAGGCUUCGGGGGAGUACUGCCAGACUGGAACCGGGAGAGGUAAGAGGUACUACAGGGGUAGGAGUGAAAUCUUGUAAGUCCCUCGUGGGACCACCUGUGGCGAAGGCGUCUUACCAGAACGGGUUCGACGGUGAGGGACGAAAGCUGGGGGCACGAACCGGAUUAGAUACCCGGGUAGUCCCAGCCGUAAACGAUGCUCGCUAGGUGUCAGGCAUGGCGCGACCGUGUCUGGUGCCGCAGGGAAGCCGUGAAGCGAGCCACCUGGGAAGUACGGCCGCAAGGCUGAAGCUUAAAGGAAUUGGCGGGGGAGCACAACAACGGGGUUGGAGCCUGCGGUUUAAUUGGACUCAACGCCGGACAACUCACCGGGGGCGACAGCAAUAUGUAGGCCAAGCUGAAGACUUUGCCUGAAUCGCUGAGUAGUGGUGCAUGG